This 253-nucleotide ribosomal RNA is filed under the name uncultured bacterium. RNAcentral's name for it is "partial 16S ribosomal RNA". It matches the Rfam family "Bacterial small subunit ribosomal RNA", at positions 524 to 776 of the family's 1533-position model. The record is from RNAcentral.
UACGGGGGGGGCGAGCGUUGUUCGGAUUUACUGGGCGUAAAGGGCGCGCAGGCGGUUCUGUUUGUCGAGUGUGAAAGCCCCGGGCUCAACCUGGGAGGUGCGCUUGAUACUCGAGGGCUUGAGUGCGGGAGAGGAGAGUGGAAUUCCCAGUGUAGAGGUGAAAUUCGUAGAUAUUGGGAAGAACACCGGUGGCGAAGGCGGCUCUCUGGACCGUAACUGACGCUGAGGCGCGAAAGCGUGGGGAGCAAACAGG